UUUAAAGUCUAAUCUGCCCCCUGAAAUUAUUUUAAAGGGCUGCGGUAUUUUAACCGUACAAAGGUAGCAUAAUAAUUAGGUUUUUGAUUGAAAUCUAGAAUGAAUGAUUGGACGAGAUACAGGCUAUUUUAUAAUAAUUAAUUAAAAUUUAAUUUUUUAGUCAAAAAGCUAAAAUUUUAUUAAAAGACGAGAAGACCCUAUAAAUCUUUAUAAUAAAUUUAUUUUAAUAAAUUAUUUUAUUUAAAUUAAUAAUUUUAAUAUUAAAUUAUUUUAUUGGGGUGAUACAAAAAUUUAAUUAACUUUUUUAUUAAAAUUACUUAAAUUAAAGAUUUAUAAAAAUAUGAUCUAUUAUUAAUAAUUCAGAGAAUAAGAUACUUUAGGGAUAACAGCGUAAUUUUAAUUUUAAGUUCUUAUUAAAAUUAAAGAUUGCGACCUCGAUGUUGGAUUAAAAUUUAAUUUAAAUGCAAAGGUUUAAAAAUUAAGUCUGUUCGACUUUU
RNAcentral lists this ribosomal RNA (497 nucleotides) under Metanoea flavipennis. Its description in RNAcentral is "partial 16S ribosomal RNA". Lineage: Eukaryota; Metazoa; Arthropoda; Insecta; Trichoptera; Limnephilidae. The record is from RNAcentral.